This 337-nucleotide unclassified non-coding RNA is filed under the name soil metagenome. Its description in RNAcentral is "partial contains 5.8S ribosomal RNA, internal transcribed spacer 2, and large subunit ribosomal RNA". The stretch from base 1 to 120 matches the Rfam family "5.8S ribosomal RNA", at positions 35 to 154 of the family's 154-position model. The record is from RNAcentral.
GAUGAAGAACGUAGCGAAAUGCGAUAAGUAGUGUGAAUUGCAGAAUUCAGUGAAUCAUCGAAUCUUUGAACGCACAUUGCGCCCCUUGGUAUUACAUGGGGCAUGCCUGUUCGAGCGUCAUUUGUACCUUCAAGCCUUGCUUGGUGUUGGGUGUUUGUCUCGCCUCUGCGCGCAGACUCGCCUCAAAACAAUUGGCAGCCGGCGUAUUGAUUUCGGAGCGCAGUACAUCUCGCGCUUUGCACUCAGAACGACGACGUCCAAAAGUACAUUUUUACACUCUUGACCUCGGAUCAGGUAGGGAUACCCGCUGAACUUAAGCAUAUCAAUAAGCGGAGGA